CUCAACAGCGCCCCGCCCUCCGGGGAGGAGGCGGCACGACCCGGCCUGCGUGGACGCCGCCCCUCGGCUCUGCGCCCGUGUCCCGGUCUGCGACACCGGGCGACCCCAGACCGCAGGGGGAUCGGGGAAUCCCGCACGGCGCGUGGGGAGCGCCCACGGUCCCCGAGGGGUCUCCUUCCCCCCGAGCCUCGGGAGCGACCCCGGGCCUGGGGGCCGCAUCGCCCCUCCGCCCGGACGGUGCCCAAGCUGAGACCGGCCUCCCUGCGCCGCCCCAGCCGGCCCGGGAACGGGGCGCACCCACCGUGUGAAGCCCCCGCCCAUGGGGAAACCCCGCGCCCCCGCCAGGGCGGACCGAGGGCCCGGGCGCUGCUGCCGCCGCCGCUGGUGCUGCUGCUCGCGGCCGCGCGGUCGGGACGCGCAGAGUUCCAGAUAGACUGCACACGAGUCAGAAUGACCCAUUAAGUGGAGGUGUGGCGUAAUUUUCAGAAGCAUUCAAAGCUGCUUGGUAAUCAAGCUGGGAAAUGCUAUGUUGGGCAAAAAUAAGGGGGCCUGUCCUCAGCACUAAAGAGGCACCAGCACAGACCCAGCACAGCCUCCAGGAGUCCCCACCUUCGUAGUCACCAUCCACUGUCUGGGGGACGUGUUAAAGCAGGAGAGC
RNAcentral lists this long non-coding RNA (658 nucleotides) under Equus asinus (donkey). RNAcentral describes it as "lncRNA (ENSEASG00005023584.1)". The record is from RNAcentral. Lineage: Eukaryota; Metazoa; Chordata; Mammalia; Perissodactyla; Equidae.